UUAAGACAUAACGUGUUAUGUUAACAUGAAUACUCACUACAAUAAAAUGCAAUAAACCACAAAAAAAGAAAAUAAAAAUGAAUAAAAACUCAGGCAUUCAUUCAUUCAUGCAUUCAUUAAUUCAAUAAUUCAUUCACAGAAUAAAAUAAAAUAAAAUAAAAUAAAAUAAAAUAAAAUAAAAUAAAAAUAAAAAUAAAAUAAAAAUAAAAAUAAAAAUAAAAAUAAAAAUAAAAAUAAAAAUAAAAAAUAAAAAUAAAAGGACUGACAAAAAAUCUUUUAUCAGGACCUGGAUAAAAAUGCUCAUUUCAAAGAAAAAAUCUAAGAAAAAUCUCUCAGAAAGAGAUUUUUGCAUUUAAAGUUUUCAUAUAUUUGCUAAAAUAAGUAUCAAAAUAUAUUUAUGUAAAUAAAUUUUGUACCAAAAUAUUUUUUGCCCAUUUUUUGUAAAUGUUUGAAAAUAUAUUUAAAAAAUAUAAAUAUAUUUAUAUUUCAACCACACUUGUUAUUAAAAAUGUAAAAACUAUCAAACUUGAGUUUCAUCAUGAGUAGAAGAUUGUCACUAUGGUUAAGAUCACAGUAAGGCCAUAUCUUUCUCUCCGUCUCCCUAACGCUCUCGACUCGCGCAUCGCAAAGUUUCAUUGGCAGUAUCUGUGUAAUAUAUCUGAGUUUCUAGUCAGUGUGUCUCUCUUUAAACAGACAGCCAGAUGGGGAGAGAAAAAGUGAGAAGUACAGUAUACGUUAUAAAGGAUGAGAACGUUGUGUAGGAGGAAAACGGAGGCCAAAAUCCCACUUAUAGCAGGACUCGUUAUCAUCCAACAAACGCAAGCGCUUCCAGUGAGAUCUUUCCAACUGCGGGCCUCUUCUCUUUGUUAUGGAGCAAAUCUCCUGCCAGGCCACUUUGUUUAUUGUCGGCAUUCAUGCCCAUUUGGACAAAAAAAGGACGCCGCUCACGCAAAAGCUGGAUUUCAGCAUGUCAGAUAUAUGAUGCUCCGCAGAAGAUCUCUCUGGGCACUCCUUCCCGCUGAGAUUUGAUUCGCCAGGAAGAGAGAACUGAGAAGCGGGAAAUUGAAACAUCUUGCAUUAAUAACCGUAAUCGAGUGGCUCUCAUUAGGAACUUCCCAUCCUGAACCCUUUCAAACAAAAAGCAUUCGUGUCUAACAUUUCUUUCCCUGUCUAUUACCUCUUCAUUCAAACUUUCUAUUAGGUGACUUUAAGUACUACUGUACAUGCUUAAUCAUUUGGUACAAUUUACUUACAAUUUACCUAUACUGUAUUAGUAAUCUGUAGUUACACUGUAAACUUCAACCCAUAACUAGGGCAUUUACUGGCCAUAAAUAUUUUUACUGCAUGUGCAUCAUUUAACAAAUCUAAAAUUCUAAUCUAAUAGCAAUGAUUAUUAUUAGAGGUUCAAGCGUGUAGUGCUGAAAGCUUAUUGUAAUUUUUAGAAUGGUCACGGAUCAGCGAUUUCCACAUAAAACUGAUCGUGCAGACCAAACCAUAGGUCGUAGAGACUUGAUACUUCUCCUAGGUUUUUCGUCCGAUCGAAACCAAACCAGUGCAGAAAGAAUCUCUGGAAAAUGAAUAUCAAUAAUUAUCAAAAAAAAAGUUGAACUUUUGACCAACUGUCACAAAGGAGCACCAAAAUGUUUGAAAGGGGCGGGGCCACUUUUACUAAUAUGCCUAUAACUCCUGAACGGAAUGAGAUAUCUUCGCCAAACUCUGAACACUUAUGUAAGAACUCAAUUUGAAGUUACAGGGGGAAUUAUUAUUAUUAUUUUUUUUUAGUUUGGCCACUUGGUGGCACUAUAAGACUGAAAAACAAAAUAGGCUAUAACUGCA
Cyprinus carpio carpio is the source of this 1836-nucleotide long non-coding RNA. Lineage: Eukaryota; Metazoa; Chordata; Actinopteri; Cypriniformes; Cyprinidae. The record is from Ensembl.